RNAcentral lists this ribosomal RNA (442 nucleotides) under uncultured bacterium. RNAcentral's name for it is "partial 16S ribosomal RNA". It matches the Rfam family "Bacterial small subunit ribosomal RNA", at positions 338 to 795 of the family's 1533-position model. The record is from RNAcentral.
CCUACGGGAGGCUGCAGUGGGGAAUAUUGGACAAUGGGCGCAAGCCUGACCCAGCAACUCCGCGUGUAGGAAGAAGGCUUUCGGGUUGUAAACUUCUUUUGUCAGGGAAGAGUAGAAGACGGUACCUGACGAAUAAGCCACGGCUAACUCCGUGCCAGCAGCCGCGGUAAUACGUAGGUGGCAAGCGUUGUCCGGAUUUACUGGGUGUAAAGGGCGUGUAGCCGGGUUGACAAGUCAGAUGUGAAAUCCUGCGGCUUAACCGCAGAACUGCAUAUGAAACUGUUGAUCUUGAGUACUGGAGAGGCAGACGGAAUUCCUAGUGUAGCGGUGAAAUGCGUAGAUAUUAGGAGGAACACCAGUGGCGAAGGCGGUCUGCUGGACAGCAACUGACGGUGAGGCGCGAAAGCGUGGGGAGCAAACAGGAUUAGAUACCCGAGUAGUC